GGGACGUACGGUAAUGUCAUGAACUAGUGGAAAAUUCCUUGAUUAUGCCAAUAUCGCCUAGGGAUAGGGGUAGGAUGGUCAAUUGUAAUUGCUUUAGAUCUCAUUGCAUUAUUGGUUACUAGGGGAGGCUAGGGAUAGCAAGCCGGUAAUUAGUAAUAGGCUCUUUUCACCAAGGGAUUGGGUUAAGGGUAAUUAAGAAAGUAUGCAUGGCAAUUAGAUAAAUAAGUGAAUUAAAUAAGAA
This 241-nucleotide long non-coding RNA is filed under the name Vigna radiata. RNAcentral describes it as "long non-coding RNA (VRAD_LNC006654)". The record is from RNAcentral. Lineage: Eukaryota; Viridiplantae; Streptophyta; Magnoliopsida; Fabales; Fabaceae.